UAUAUAAGAUCCUCAUGUGAACUACAGGUUAAUAAAUAAACAAGGCACUCUGAAGGUGAGUGAGUGUGUACAAGACAUGAGCUGUAACUGUAAACCUGCAGUAUAUCACCUCCAUCGCUCCGAGCAGGGCUGUAAACGGCUUCUACUGGAAGGCUCCAUUAGGAGCUGAGUGACAGGAAGUGAUCUAUGCAGAUGGAGCGGACUGAGCGUAUUGACUGCGGCAGAUGUGCUUAGAGUGACGAGACGGAAAGACCAGACUUUGACAACACUGAUGUGUCCAUACACGGAUUCACUGAAAGAGACUAAUUAACCAGGGAGCACCGAGGGCUUUGCAUCUUUGCACCUAGUAUCGACGGGACACGAUGACCACAGUAGCGAAGAAAGGACAAACACUGACAGUGAAGGACGCUUGCUAGCUUCUCCUGACUGUCCCUGACAGGACAUUUUGGAAGAGGAGCGGGUCCAGUCUUAUUCCCUGCACGUCGAGAGCUUUAGCCAGAGGAGACUGGCCUUAUUGUUCCUCCCACACAAUAUCCCAAGGUGUGUGAAGUCCCGCCGGACGGCUGACACAAUCCUCCCCGGCCUGUUCCAUCACCAUCCUGUCACUGACAGACACAUCGCACUGAUGACCCAGACGAGAGCAGCCAUGGAAGCAGGGAAAAUAAUGGAGGACCACCGGCCUUCACACCACUGUUCUCAAAGCACACGCUAAGGACAUGCACAUACUUUUAUGUGGGAGUUCACUGGCUCUGCAGCAUCUCCACGCCUCAGCCGUCAAACAGCUUGCAAGACAUCACAAACGUGACCUUUAGGGAAUACGCUGCAGUGCCGUGGAGUGAAGGAGGAGAAGAGCAGCCACGGGGCUGGAGAAUAACCUUGCUAAGAGCGGUCACGAAGGAAAAACAGCAGCCAGCCAUCACUUCCUGUUCAUCAAUCGCCGGUGAGCGACAGUGGCAGGCAGAAUAC
Molecule: long non-coding RNA, 966 nt
Organism: Puntigrus tetrazona (Sumatra barb)
Lineage: Eukaryota; Metazoa; Chordata; Actinopteri; Cypriniformes; Cyprinidae
Exons: 4
Source: RefSeq, a predicted model, not a curated record